Scylla paramamosain (green mud crab) is the source of this 1485-nucleotide long non-coding RNA. RefSeq lists it as uncharacterized. The record is from RefSeq and is a predicted model, not a curated record. Lineage: Eukaryota; Metazoa; Arthropoda; Malacostraca; Decapoda; Portunidae. The transcript has 5 exons.
AGAGAGAGAAAAAAAAAAGGAGGAACAUGAUAAUUUACGAAAAUAUGAUGUCACGAGAAAUUAAAAGGCAUUCAUCACAACAUAUAUCUGCUUAUAAUGUUUGUUUAAGUGGUGUUUCAUGUCACAGAUCCCCGCUGCGUGUGUGGGGAGAGGAAAGGAAAGCAGGAAGGCACCUCACCGUUUUUCAUUCCAUUCUUAAUCGCUUCUCCCUCCAACAUCCAACUCUCGGCGACUGCGUUAAAAAAGCAUAAGUUGCUCAGGUGGAAGGCGCAGGCGAGCAGGUGGCUGGCGGUGAUCCACUCGGCCCUCUUGGAAACGUGAUGAAAUUUGUCAAGUUUAAACAGGAUUUGAAAGUGAAUCCGUGUACCAGGCCGAACACGUAACUCAGCAAUGCAGUGAAGAGCACUUACAAAAUGAAGAACAUGAAAAGAAGGAACGGAAGAAGGAGAAAAAAGGAAGAAGAGGAGGAAAUACCACUGCGUACUCAAGAUAAAACACAAGGGCGGUGUGACCCUGGCGUGAGGGAGGCAGCCCCAAGGGUGACGCGUCCCAGCACGGCCCGCACACACCACACAGAACCCUUUGACGUGAAGUAAGGUUAGUUGAAGUCUAAGCAGGGCUGUGGCGCCUUGUAUGGCCACGGACAGAUCGUGAAAAGCCGCCACGAGUCUCUGGUAUGUGAAGUGAUGUGGAGAGGUGGUGGAGGAGGUGUUGUGACUAGUGGAGUGAUCUUGUGUCAGAAAUGGAGGCCGUGAGUAAGGAGUGAUGGGUUUCUAGAGACAGGGAAUGGAGGGUCUGAGGUGAUGGAAGUGAUGGGUUUGUACUCGUAGAGGCAAGGAAAGAAGGUGAUGGUGACGUGGUGGGAUGUGAUAGGUUUGUAUAGGUAAAGGAUUAGAGGUUUUGAUGAAGUGAUGGUUUGUCAUAGGGUAGUAGAGAGAAGGAAUGAAGGACGUGGUGGAUUACUGAUGGUUUGUGGUAGAUGUGUGGUUGCUGGGAGUGGAGACGGUAGUGGAUUAGUAAUGGGAUGUGGGAAGCUACAGUGAAGUGAUAGGUUUUGGGAUGGUUGUGAAGUUAUUUUUUAUGUAGGAGGGACAACGGCCAAGGGCAACAAAAAUCUAAUAAAAAAAAAAAAGCCCACUGACAUGCCGGUCCUCGCAUAGGGUCCAAAGCGGUAGUCAAAAAAUUGAUUAGCUAUGGUCAAAUUCCAAAGACACGACAGGGUAGAGUAUAAAGGAUGUCAAGAAACUGAAUAACAUUAUUGCCCUUACAAAUAUGUGGUUUUGAAAUAUAUGCUUAGUUUUUUGUGUACAGGAUUUGAUUCAAGCUUGUGUUACCUCGUGCCUAUUUGUAUUUAGCUUCUCCAGUCAAAUAUUGAGUUCUGGGUUUUUAGAAAGGAGGUAUGUGAUGGGUUUUAUUGUUUUAAGUGUCUGUAGUUGUGUGUGUGUGUGUGUGUGUGUGUGUGUGUGUGUGUGUGUGUGUGUGUGU